RNAcentral lists this ribosomal RNA (581 nucleotides) under uncultured bacterium. Its description in RNAcentral is "bacterial SSU rRNA". It matches the Rfam family "Bacterial small subunit ribosomal RNA", at positions 104 to 723 of the family's 1533-position model. The record is from RNAcentral.
GGGUGAGUAACACGUGAGUACCUGCCUCUUAGUGGGGGAUAGCCCUGGGAAACCGGGAUUAAUACCGCCUACGGAAACAAAGCAGCAAUGCGCUAGGAGAUGGGCUCGCGGCCUAUUAGUUAGUUGGUGAGGUAACGGCUUACCAAGGCGAUGACGGGUAGCCGGUCUGAGAGGAUGUCCGGCCACACUGGAACUGAGACACGGUCCAGACACCUACGGGUGGCAGCAGUCGAGAAUCAUUCACAAUGGGGGCAACCCUGAUGGUGCGACGCCGCGUGGGGGAUAAGGUCUUCGGAUUGUAAACCCCUGUCAUGUGGGACAUUAAAAAGAUAGUACCACAAGAGGAAGAGACGGCUAACUCUGUGCCAGCAGCCGCGGUAAUACAGAGGUCUCAAGCGUUGUUCGGAAUCACUGGGCGUAAAGCGUGCGUAGGCUGUUUCGUAAGUCGUGUGUGAAAGGCAGGGGCUCAACCCCUGGACUGCCCAUGAUACUGCGAGACUAGAGUAAUGGAGGGGGAACCGGAAUUCUCGGUGUAGCAGUGAAAUGCGUAGAUAUCGAGAGGAACACUCGUGGCGAAGGCG